GAUGAACCCUAGCGGAACGCCUACCCCCCUCCAAGUCGAACGAGUUUUUAUUUUGUACGCAUCCAAAAUAAAAAUUAGUGGCAAACGAGCGAGUAACGCGUACUUAAUCUGCCCCAAAAGUUGAGAACAACUAUAGAGAUGUAGCUAAUUCUCAAUAUGCUCACGAUGGUGAAAUCCCAAUGUGAGGAAAGAUUUAUCGCUUUUGGAGGAGGGUGCGUCCUAUCAUGGUAGUUGGUAAGGUAAUGGCUUACCAAGCCUUUGACCGGUAGCCGGUCUGAGAUGAUGUCCGGCCGCGAUGGAACUGAGAUACGGUCCAUACUCCUACGGGAGGCAGCAGUGGGGAAUUUUGCCCAAUGGGCGAAAGCCUGAUGCAGCGAUUCCGCGUGGAGGAUGACCCAUUACGGUGUGUAAACUCC
RNAcentral lists this ribosomal RNA (416 nucleotides) under uncultured bacterium. RNAcentral describes it as "bacterial SSU rRNA". It matches the Rfam family "Bacterial small subunit ribosomal RNA", at positions 28 to 433 of the family's 1533-position model. The record is from RNAcentral.